Herpailurus yagouaroundi (jaguarundi) is the source of this 495-nucleotide long non-coding RNA. RefSeq lists it as uncharacterized. NCBI's taxonomy places the organism in Eukaryota, Metazoa, Chordata, Mammalia, Carnivora, Felidae. The record is from RefSeq and is a predicted model, not a curated record. The transcript has 2 exons.
UUUAGUAUCUUGAAACAUGCCACCAUUAGGAAAGAAGACUGUGCCAAAACAAUCUGUCUUUUUUGGUAAGCAGUGAGUAACUUUUGAAGGUGUUUAACGGGAAGUCUGACCAUUGAAUGCUUCAACAGGCAGGCCAUCAUGGAAACCUGAGUGCUUUCUCUUCCCUCUCACUGAAUGGAUCUCAACACUCCUUGAUUCAAAUGAGAAUCCAGAAUGAACAGGCACCCGGAGGCAACCACACAACAUUGUGAAAUCCUUGGAACAUAACCAGUUUAAACCGGUGGUGUUUCAGGCGGAGAGAGUGAGCUCCUCCGCGCAGAAGUUUUGAGACUGCCUAACACCUCUGUCAUAAUCAAGCAGAAGCAAAAUCAAAAUGUAUUUCUACCAAGUGCAAUUUAUAGAAGAGAUUGCGUAUAGAAAGGAUCAUGUAAAAACUAUAUGUGUUUAUAUCUCUACUUGCCACAGCUUAUAAAAAAAUUCCUCUGUAGAAUUCCA